GACUAGGGUCCUCAAUCCAAAACUGGAACCACUUACUCCUAACUGAAGCUUCAGUACACUUGAUGCCUACUGUGGUUUGAUUUUUUACCUACAUAUGACAUGUUCGCUCUACACUGAUCAAGAGAUCAUCAAGAAAGAAAACCAAGGCACUAGAAAGCAAGCACACUUAAGUAUUGAAGAUAAUUACAUCUUAAAUUUUGCCUGAACUGUAUAUUGUAGCAUACUUAAACCCAUUCAAGGAAAAAAUUGGCAAAUUGAAAAUUCUCCCAUUAAAGAUUGAUAUUUUUGCAAACUGACAAAUUUAACGAUUUCGGUACCCCUCCCCAAAAAUGCAGUCACAUAAAAUAUAUCAAUACUAUUUUGAAUUAGCUCUAGAAAUCACACUGAAACUAUGUUACAUUUACAAAUAUUAAAUUUAUUAUAACUAA
RNAcentral lists this long non-coding RNA (428 nucleotides) under Homo sapiens (human). RNAcentral describes it as "non-protein coding lnc-PLCD3-4:11". The record is from RNAcentral. Lineage: Eukaryota; Metazoa; Chordata; Mammalia; Primates; Hominidae.